UACAGAGGGUGCGAGCGUUAUUCGGAAUUACUGGGCGUAAAGCGUGCGUAGACGGCUAUCUAAGUCGGGUGUGAAAGCCCCGGGCUCAACCUGGGAAUUGCAUUCGAGACUGAAUAGCUAGGGUGCGGUAGAGGGAAGCGGAAUUUCCGGUGUAGCGGUGAAAUGCGUAGAUAUCGGGAAGAACACCCGUGGCGAAGGCGGUUCUCUGGGCAUUACCUGACGCUGAGGAGCGAAAGUGUGGGGAGCGAACAGG
Molecule: ribosomal RNA, 253 nt
Filed under: uncultured bacterium
Lineage: Bacteria
Description: partial 16S ribosomal RNA
Rfam family: Bacterial small subunit ribosomal RNA
Source: RNAcentral